This 253-nucleotide ribosomal RNA is filed under the name uncultured bacterium. Its description in RNAcentral is "partial 16S ribosomal RNA". It matches the Rfam family "Bacterial small subunit ribosomal RNA", at positions 524 to 776 of the family's 1533-position model. The record is from RNAcentral.
UACGUAGGGGGCAAGCGUUUUCCGGAAUCAUUGGGCGUAAAGCGCGUGUAGGCGGCCACGUUAGUCCGUUCUGAAAGCCCGGGGCUCAACCCCGGGAGGCGGAUGGAUACUGCGUGGCUCGAGUCCGGAAGAGGCGAGUGGAAUUCCUGGUGUAGCGGUGAAAUGCGCAGAUAUCAGGAGGAACACCAAUGGCGAAGGCAGCUCGCUGGGACGUGACUGACGCUGAGACGCGAAAGCGUGGGGAGCAAACAGG